Non-coding RNA from Danio rerio (zebrafish), 1974 nucleotides. NCBI's taxonomy places the organism in Eukaryota, Metazoa, Chordata, Actinopteri, Cypriniformes, Danionidae. The record is from RefSeq and is a predicted model, not a curated record.
UCCAGAGGUUUUAAUGUCUCAAGGAGGGACUGGUUAUUACGGUCGUGAGUGUGACUGGUGGUCUGUUGGUGUUUUCAUUUAUGAGCUUCUAGUGGGCGACACUCCAUUUCAUUCCGAGUCUCUGGUGGGCACAUAUGGAAAGAUCAUGGAUCACAAGAACAUCUUAACUUUCCCAGAUGAUAUUGAAAUGUCAAAGGAUGGCAAAGACCUCAUCUGUGCCUUUCUGAGUAGCAAGGAGGUGAGGCUUGACCGGACUGGAGUGGAUGAAAUAAAAUGUCACCCCUUCUUCAAGAACGAUCAGUGGACCUUCGAAACCAUAUGAGACACAAAAAAAUGCCAAAAACAGACACCCAAAACCCUACGCAUGCUGCGCGACACAGGGGCGUGAACCUGCAGGACCCAGACGCACAGUCCACUCGAAGCUGCUGUGGGAACUAAAGGCCUGUCAACACUCCAUCAUGGGAGACCACGACACCUUCUCCUCCCUAAAAUCCCACCCUUCACCCUUUCACCUCCCAAGACGGAUAAGGAAAGAGAAAGAAAGAGAAAGGAAUACCAGGAAGAGCUCGAGGAAAACGCCUCACUCAUGCCACAAAGAGAUUUUUCAAGGAAGACUUCUGGUGGACGGGGCUGAAAGCGAACGGACGAUGGAUUCUGUCAUGUCUGGCAGUAAAUAUGGAUUCUGUAUUACUUUCAAGUCAACAAGAAUUUCCACCUCAGUUCAUCCUCAUUAUGCAAGCACCAUGUAGAGAUAAAGGAUUGGAAAAGAGAUAAAGGAACACAGAAUGGACUGAAGAGUUAUAAUUAACCAACAAACCUUCCCAUUCUCAGGCCCUGGAAGGGUCCGUAAUGCCCCUUUUAACAUUCAGAAGUCUUCAAGCAAAAUCUACACUGAGUAUCCAUAUGGUCUGGGCUCUCCCAUUUAAUCUCAACUCUAACACUGGAAGAAAGUCAGCACCUUAAACUUAAACUAACCCUUCAGUUAUUCAUCUAUGAGCCACAUCUACUAAAUUUCUAACACAAAGGAACACCGAAGCAGAACUUCAUAUGUUUUAUUUCAGCUUUAUUUAUUACCUUUGUUUGAACUGGUCUCCCUUUGCGCAGCUCUUCAUUCAUCUCUGACCUAAAAAGUAUUGAAGAAAGUCAAUGUUGUCUUCCCUAUCCCAUUUACUUCUCCCCACAGCAUUGACCUCAAAGUUCAGUGUUGAUGUUCACAAAACAACAGCGAGCUCUACGAUGCCUUCUUAAUCUUCUUUUAGCUUUGUGUAAACUACUGUUUGAGAGUCAACAAAUUAUUACAUAUAUUUGCACCAAUCAGACUGAUCCAAAAUCAUUUUGCUUCACGAUUAAUUGCAAAAUAUCAUUACACAUUUAGUUGUCUGGAUGCGGAAGUCACACAACACCAGUCUCAAUAUGUGUUAUUAAAAAGCAACAAAAAAUAUUCAAGCACCCACUAAUCAACAAAGUGAAUGAUUGAGCACUGGGAUGGCAAAUAUUGUGGGAAUGCAGAUUUUUGCCCACAAAGCCCCUGAAAAAGUGGAAAAAAACAGAAGUGCCUACUCCGUUUUUUCCGUGUUCUUUGUUUUGGGCUUGAUUGAGGUCGGCUGACCAUCUUAAAAGUAGCGGUUUUGAGACGAUCCCGAGGUAUACGGGCAAUAAGCUGUGAGAAUAACUUGCGGAGCGUGCUAGUAAACAGAGGAGUCGUUUCAGUUUUGUUUUAUGAAUGCUGUUUGUUGAUGUGUAUUAAAAAGAAUUUUAUUUCAGAUUGAUUUUAGUCAGUAAUUUAAUGGGUUACCAAUACAUUUAUAUGGUCAUUUAGGGAAUGAAUUAGGUAUCAUGAUAAGGUGUCACACAGCUAGAAGUCAUUUGUCAUGUGUCUUCAGGUCCACCUUUUUUGUGGAAUAAGAUCUGAUCUCGUUAACACCUCUGUCAAUUUUAAAUAAAGCUGUGCUGUUCUGCUAUGAAUGAAACGUG